UCAGAUCCCUUCAACUUAGGAGAAUUGCUGGGACUCAGCGAACGGCAGGGAGGCUCUUGGUGGAGAGUUCUGGGCCCAGAGACUUCCUUUCAGGAGUUGUAAGCCUCCUUUGGGACUGCCAUGAGACUUCGGGCUAUGACCAGAGAGAACCAUCCUCGCGCCGCAAGCCAGACCAGCCACAAGACCUAGUCUGUGCCCUGACACAGGGAGCCCCAAGGGGAAGUAGGGAAGGGGACAUCAUCGCUUCAGUCCUAAUCCUGUGCUUCAGGCCUUCGUCACAGCUGAACGGCCUCCUUAGCUGCUAGAAGCUGGUCUCUGUUGGGUCCCAGGUGCUGAGGAAAGCCUUUCAAAACUUGGGAGGCCCCAGCAGGGUGGCACCACACAGGCCACACGAGUCCCAGUGUGGGGGUGAGAGACACCUCGUGAGGGUGGGUUAGAAACCUCUUUACAAGCAUUUCAAGAUACAUGCGUCCUUUUUUUUUUUUUUUUUUCUUUUCACUAUCAUAGUCACUCUGGUGAAUCCAAGCAUAAACAGACAAAUCCAACUACAACUCAACAGGGUGCAGAUGGGGAGGGCAGGGCAACAUCUAUGUAUAUGUUCAGCUGCUCCAGCAGAACAGACAGCAUGGCUUCCAGCUGGGACUGGGGGAAAAGAACCAUUUCCAAGGGGGUGUGUUCCCCUUUGUCGGGUGUGGAGGGCUGAUACUAUGCAUGUGGAGCUGAGCAGCGGGCUGGGCUGUCUGGGAGGUUGGCAGCUACAAGCUAGGGUGCAAGUGGGGGACAGCGGGACUGUGGGCCUGCCCUGGGUGCCUUGCCCUUCCAUCCUGGUGCCACCACUGACAACCAAGACACCCAGCCUGCUGCUGUGGGCUCAGCACAGGAAGGGGCCAGGCCUUCUCAGGGGAAAGGGCUCUCUCCAUGUCAACAAGGCAGAAACACCUAGGGUCACAGCUGAGCAGUGCCCUGGCUCACAUCUGUGACGGGAGGAGGAGACAGGGAACCGAAUCAGAUCAUGAGAUUCGUGGUGAGGGUCCCAGUUGGAUGAGUGGAACUGAGAGUGAGAGGCUGGGGUCCCACUCUUGUGCCUGGACUUUGCCUUCCCUUAAUUUCACCCUCAGUAUGGAGUAGGUACCUCCUGCAACCAACCAGGGUCAUUACUGAGAAGGGGUGGUGAGGCUGGGAAUUCGGGACAUUGUGACGUGUGAUGAGGGGUAUAGGCAGUGAUUGGGCUCUCACGGCAGACAACAGCACAGCGGCGCAGACGGGGUGACUGCAGUGGCCGUGGGAAGGACAGGGGGCUCGGGACCUGCCUCCCAGACCCCCACACACUCCAGAGAUGCCAGUGGCCCAGGCUUGGAAACGGGUGGACGUCUCCCAAGAGGCACAAGUCCUUACAAAGAGAACUGGUUAGCCCUAAAGUCCCAGGUCUGCAAAGUGGCCAAAAUCAUGGCAGCAGUUCCAACCUUCAGAACUCAAUAAAACAGGGUUUCUGUGGAGCAGAGGGAAGCCCCUCAACUCAGGCCCCCUACCCUGCAGGGAGGGAGGAAGAGGCCAGCGCUCUCAAGACAUCAAGGUCAGUCUUUUCUAAGGAGGUCAUCCACGAAGUGCCACCCUCCUGCCAGCUUGCCUUCUCUUUUUACCCGCUGUCCCUUCUCCCACAGGCUGCCCUGCAGAGGGUGGCACACUGACCCACAGCAGGCCCCCACCCCCGGCCACCAAGGACAGGCGGCCGCUCAGACGCUGCAGGUGGCAUAGGCCUUGGCUCUCCCAGCGGCAAGGAGGGGGAUGUCUACUCUCCAGCACGUGGCUUCCUCUCCC
RNAcentral lists this long non-coding RNA (1818 nucleotides) under Homo sapiens (human). RNAcentral describes it as "HSALNT0390178". Lineage: Eukaryota; Metazoa; Chordata; Mammalia; Primates; Hominidae. The record is from RNAcentral.